UACGUAGGGUGCAAGCGUUGUCCGGAAUUAUUGGGCGUAAAGGGCUCGUAGGCGGUUUGUCGCGUCUGCUGUGAAAACUCGGGGCUUAACCCCGGGCCUGCAGUGGGUACGGGCAGACUAGAGUGCGGUAGGGGAGACUGGAAUUCCUGGUGUAGCGGUGAAAUGCGCAGAUAUCAGGAGGAACACCGGUGGCGAAGGCGGGUCUCUGGGCAGUAACUGACGCUGAGGAGCGAAAGCGUGGGGAGCGAACAGG
This 253-nucleotide ribosomal RNA is filed under the name uncultured bacterium. Its description in RNAcentral is "partial 16S ribosomal RNA". It matches the Rfam family "Bacterial small subunit ribosomal RNA", at positions 524 to 776 of the family's 1533-position model. The record is from RNAcentral.